GAAACAAGAUACAGGCUAGCGGCGGACGGGUGAGUAACACGUGGGUAACCUGCCCCAAGAGAUCGGGGAUAACACCUGGAAACAGAUGCUAAUACCGGAUAACAACAGAUGAUGCCUAUCAACUGUUUAAAAGAUGGUUCUGCUAUCACUCUUGGGAUGGACCUGCGGUGCAUUAGCUAGUUGGUAGGGUAACGGCCUACCAAGGCGAUGAUGCAUAGCCGAGUUGAGAGACUGAUCGGCCACAUUGGGACUGAGACACGGCCCAAACUCCUACGGGAGGCAGCAGUAGGGAAAUCUUCCACAAUGGACGCAAGUCUGAUGGAGCAACGCCGCGUGAGUGAAGAAGGGGUUUCGGCUCGUAAAGCUCUGUUGUUGGUGAAGAAGGACAGGGGUAGUAACUGACCUUUGUUUGACGGUAAUCAAUUUAGAAAAGUCACGGCUAACUACGUGCCCAGCAGCCGCGGGUAAU
Molecule: ribosomal RNA, 469 nt
Filed under: uncultured Lactobacillus sp.
Lineage: Bacteria; Bacillati; Bacillota; Bacilli; Lactobacillales; Lactobacillaceae
Description: bacterial SSU rRNA
Rfam family: Bacterial small subunit ribosomal RNA
Source: RNAcentral